UUACACUAGGUGUAUUCGGGAAAUAACUGCGUGUGUGGGUGUCCACGCAAGAGAAAUGGCUUUUGGGGUUGGGAAAAAAGGAUGUGUAGACGGGAUGGAUGGGUGUUCCUCGUGUGGGAUGCCAUGUUGUUGUGCUCGUACCUUGGUGGUUGAGCAAUGUCGGGAGAUAUCCAUCCUGUCGUGAUUAAGGACCGAGUUGAUGUGUCAUCUUGCCUAAUUCCACUAUCGUGCAACCACUCGACCGUUGUAUGGGCAACGGCUUAGCAUAAAUCCCACUAGCUGAACUGUUAGUCCUCAGGGGUGCUGGUGAGCAACGGGAACCCAUGGAAAAGGAGUAAGAUCUUGGUGACUUAUGUCCCGGUUACGG
This 367-nucleotide long non-coding RNA is filed under the name Setaria viridis. RNAcentral describes it as "long non-coding RNA (SVIR_LNC006355)". Lineage: Eukaryota; Viridiplantae; Streptophyta; Magnoliopsida; Poales; Poaceae. The record is from RNAcentral.